GGCAACAAAGUCGAGCUGGCUAUUUCCUGCCGAGGAGGGGCAUUGUCCCUAUGCCAGGUUCCGAAGAGGUUCCGUGGACACCGGAGUGUAGGGAUGGAGUAGCGUCUGGUUGAAGGCCACUUGAGAGACCGCCCUCAUACGCAAUAAUUUCAAACUCUUGUGCUGGAUGUAGAUUUUUCCUACAAGAACGUAAUUAAAUACUGAAAAAAGCUUGGCAGCAAAAUAAUCUGCAGAAUGGACACAAAUGAUUAAUUUAUAUAAUUCCAAUAGAACAAGCAUCUGCAAUGCAGUAAACAGAUUGAUCUAAGGAAACAAAACAAAAAGGAAAGGAGAUGGAAAGACCUAUGGAACUGUGCCUCUCUAUUUAGCAA
Molecule: long non-coding RNA, 371 nt
Organism: Ochotona princeps (American pika)
Lineage: Eukaryota; Metazoa; Chordata; Mammalia; Lagomorpha; Ochotonidae
Exons: 3
Source: RefSeq, a predicted model, not a curated record